UUGAACGCUGGCGGAAUGCUUUACACAUGCAAGUCGAACGGCAGCACGGGGGCAACCCUGGUGGCGAGUGGCGAACGGGUGAGUAAUACAUCGGAACGUGCCCGGUCGUGGGGGAUAACGUAGCGAAAGUUACGCUAAUACCGCAUACGAUCUGAGGAUGAAAGCGGGGGACCUUCGGGCCUCGCGCGAUCGGAGCGGCCGAUGUCAGAUUAGGUAGUUGGUGGGGUAAAGGCCUACCAAGCCGACGAUCUGUAGCUGGUCUGAGAGGACGACCAGCCACACUGGGACUGAGACACGGCCCAGACUCCUACGGGAGGCAGCAGUGGGGAAUUUUGGACAGUGGGCGCAAGCCUGAUCCAGCCAUUCCGCGUGCAGGACGAAGGCCUUCGGGUUGUAAACUGCUUUUGUAUGGAACGAAAAGGCUCUGGCUAAUACCUGGGGCUCAUGACGGUACCGUAAGAAUAAGCACCGGCUAACUACGC
This 482-nucleotide ribosomal RNA is filed under the name uncultured bacterium. RNAcentral describes it as "partial 16S ribosomal RNA". It matches the Rfam family "Bacterial small subunit ribosomal RNA", at positions 30 to 506 of the family's 1533-position model. The record is from RNAcentral.